GAGGGCGCCUUACACAUGCAGUCGCACGAAGGUUUCGGCCUUAGUGGCGGACGGGUGAGUAACGCGUAGGAAUCUAUCCAUGGGUGGGGGAUAACUCUGGGAAACUGGAGCUAAUACCGCAUGAUACCUGAGGGUCAAAGGCGUAAGUCGCCUGUGGAGGAGCCUGCGUUCGAUUAGCUUGUUGGUGGGGUAAUGGCCUACCAAGGCGAUGAUCGAUAGCUGGUCUGAGAGGAUGAUCAGCCACACUGGGACUGAGACACGGCCCAGACUCCUACGGGAGGCAGCAGUGGGGAAUAUUGGACAAUGGGGGCAACCCUGAUCCAGCAAUGCCGCGUGUGUGAAGAAGGUUUUCGGAUUGUAAAGCACUUUCGGCGGGGACGAUGAUGACGGUACCCGCAGAAGAAGCCCCGGCUAACUUCGUGCCAGCAGCCGCGGUAAUACGAAGGGGGCUAGCGUUGCUCGGAAUGACUGGGCGUAAAGGGCGUGUAGGCGGUUUGUACAGUCAGAUGUGAAAUCCCCGGGCUUAACCUGGGAGCUGCAUUUGAUACGUGCAGACUAGAGUGUGAGAGAGGGUUGUGGAAUUCCCAGUGUAGAG
This 595-nucleotide ribosomal RNA is filed under the name Acetobacter sp. Its description in RNAcentral is "bacterial SSU rRNA". It matches the Rfam family "Bacterial small subunit ribosomal RNA", at positions 39 to 680 of the family's 1533-position model. The record is from RNAcentral. Lineage: Bacteria; Pseudomonadati; Pseudomonadota; Alphaproteobacteria; Acetobacterales; Acetobacteraceae.